This 332-nucleotide ribosomal RNA is filed under the name uncultured bacterium. RNAcentral's name for it is "bacterial SSU rRNA". It matches the Rfam family "Bacterial small subunit ribosomal RNA", at positions 568 to 898 of the family's 1533-position model. The record is from RNAcentral.
AGCGUAGGCGGAGAAAUAAGUUAGGAGUUUAAUGUACGGGCUUAACCCGUAAUCUGCUUCUGAUACUGUUUUUCUUGAGUAUGGGAGAGGGAGAUGGAAUUCCAGGUGUAGCGGUGGAAUGCGUAGAUAUCUGGAAGAACACCAGCUGCGAAGGCGGUCUCCUGGCCCAAUACUGACGCUGAGGCUCGAAAGCUAGGGGAGCAAACAGGAUUAGAUACCCUGGUAGUCCUAGCCGUAAACGAUGGACACUAGAUGCUGGAGGAGUCAAUCCUUUCGGUGUCGUAGCUAACGCGUUAAGUGUCCCGCCUGGGGAGUACGCUCGCAAGGGUGAA